GUGGCUCAGUGGUAGAGUGCUUGCCUUGCAUGCAUGAAGCCCUGGGUUCGAUUCCUUAGC
Molecule: transfer RNA, 60 nt
Filed under: Dipodomys ordii (Ord's kangaroo rat)
Lineage: Eukaryota; Metazoa; Chordata; Mammalia; Rodentia; Heteromyidae
Rfam family: tRNA
About the family: Transfer RNA (tRNA) molecules are approximately 80 nucleotides in length.
Source: Rfam by way of RNAcentral